Myotis davidii is the source of this 547-nucleotide long non-coding RNA. RefSeq lists it as uncharacterized. The record is from RefSeq and is a predicted model, not a curated record. Lineage: Eukaryota; Metazoa; Chordata; Mammalia; Chiroptera; Vespertilionidae. The transcript is spliced from 2 exons.
CUCAGAGUGGACGUUGUCUCCGCCCGGAGUUCCCGAGGGUUCGGUUAACGGGGUCAGGUGAUCGCGUCUGAUUUUGGCAUCAGUUGCUUUAGGGAGGAUGUGACUUGCAAGAAGGUUCUGGAGGAGACCAGAAACAGACACUUAAUGAAGCAGACCCACUGGUUGAGUCUAUUCUUUGUAGAAUUCUUCAGCAAAGCUGCCCACACAAGUCAAAAUUCAGGAGAGUCCCCGGGGAGAGUUAAAUGCUCCGAAUUCCAGGCCUACCCUAUGCACGUAUUUGCCUCUGUAACCUUCACCUAUGACCAGUGCCCAGUACCGUGAUUUCCUACGUCAGUGCAGCGUGUCAAACCGUCACAGACGCCAAGGCUCUGCGCUCCAACCCAGGGCCCAGACCACCUGCCACAGGGGCCGUCUCACUGACGGAGGCGACAUUCGUGCUGCCACCCAGGAGCCAGUGUUUCGAGACCGCAGAUUUAAGUCAUGCUUCCUGAUGUCCGACCUCCAUUACAGCUGUCAUUGGGCUAAAUACACCCAAGUAAUUUCUUUU